This 24-nucleotide non-coding RNA is filed under the name Cricetulus griseus (Chinese hamster). Lineage: Eukaryota; Metazoa; Chordata; Mammalia; Rodentia; Cricetidae. The record is from RNAcentral.
ACAAGUUCCGAUGUCUCUGGGAGA